RNAcentral lists this ribosomal RNA (253 nucleotides) under uncultured bacterium. Its description in RNAcentral is "partial 16S ribosomal RNA". It matches the Rfam family "Bacterial small subunit ribosomal RNA", at positions 524 to 776 of the family's 1533-position model. The record is from RNAcentral.
UACGGAGGGGGCGAGCGUUAUUCGGAAUUAUUGGGCGUAAAGGGCGCGUAGGCGGCCCGCUAAGUCAAAGGUGAAAUCCCUCGGCUCAACUGAGGAACUGCCUUUGAGACUGUCGGGCUUGAGGCCGGGAGAGGUGAGUGGAACUGCGAGUGUAGAGGUGAAAUUCGUAGAUAUUCGCAAGAACACCAGUGGCGAAGGCGGCUCACUGGCCCGGUACUGACGCUGAGGUGCGAAAGCGUGGGGAGCAAACGGG